GCUCAGGACGAACGCUGGCGGCGCGCCUAACACAUGCAAGUCGAACGGAGUUGUGUUGAAAGCUUGCUGGAUAUACAACUUAGUGGCGGACGGGUGAGUAACACGUGAGUAACCUGCCUCUCAGAGUGGAAUAACGUUUGGAAACGAACGCUAAUACCGCAUGACGUGAGAAGAGGGCAUCCUCUUUUUACCAAAGAUUUAUCGCUGAGAGAUGGGCUCGCGGCCGAUUAGGUAGUUGGUGAGAUAACAGCCCACCAAGCCGACGAUCGGUAGCCGGACUGAGAGGUUGAUCGGCCACAUUGGGACUGAGACACGGCCCAGACUCCUACGGGAGGCAGCAGUA
RNAcentral lists this ribosomal RNA (343 nucleotides) under uncultured bacterium. RNAcentral's name for it is "bacterial SSU rRNA". It matches the Rfam family "Bacterial small subunit ribosomal RNA", at positions 22 to 356 of the family's 1533-position model. The record is from RNAcentral.